This 253-nucleotide ribosomal RNA is filed under the name uncultured bacterium. RNAcentral's name for it is "partial 16S ribosomal RNA". It matches the Rfam family "Bacterial small subunit ribosomal RNA", at positions 524 to 776 of the family's 1533-position model. The record is from RNAcentral.
UACAGAGGGGGCAAGCGUUGUUCGGAAUUACUGGGCGUAAAGGGCGCGUAGGUGGCCUUCUAAGUUGAACGUGAAAUCCCUGGGCUCAACCCAGGAACUGCGUCCAAGACUGGGAGGCUUGAAUCCGGGAGAGGGAUGCGGAAUUCCAGGUGUAGCGGUGAAAUGCGUAGAUAUCUGGAGGAACACCGGUGGCGAAGGCGGCAUCCUGGACCGGUACUGACGCUGAGGCACGAAAGCGUGGGGAGCAAACAGG